RNAcentral lists this long non-coding RNA (634 nucleotides) under Sinocyclocheilus grahami. Its description in RNAcentral is "lncRNA (ENSSGRG00000034212.1)". The record is from RNAcentral. Lineage: Eukaryota; Metazoa; Chordata; Actinopteri; Cypriniformes; Cyprinidae.
AAUCUCUCAUAACCUUGCCGCCAAAGCUCCGAUUCACUGAAUCAAAAUUCCCUCUGCUACAAAGCACCUGUCAUCUAUCAGAGCAGCUGAUGGAUACGUUUACGUUACGUAAAGCUUGAGAUGUUUUUUUUAAUUGUUGGUCAGAAGGCUAACUCUAAAAUGGUUCGUUCAUUCGGCCAAGAUCGAAAAAACAUUUCGAAAAUCGAGCCGCUGAAGAGAAACGCCGCCGGACUCCAGCUGCUCGCAAUGAGGACGAUACUGACUGACCAAUCUGACUCCGAGGCCAAAACGACUUACACACGAUGUUUUGAACAACCAUUCAAACGCUUCAGCUACGCUCUGCAGUCCAGCUGGAGGAGUGACACAAGGAAACAUCUGACCAACAAUCCUUCUGUAGAUAUGUUGUCAAGUAAUGAGGAAAAGGAAACCAGAAAUGAGCUGGACACCCAAUAUGAAGAUCUUUUUUCAUUUGCUGACACAGAACUCAUCAAGCGAAUGUAAAGACAUUAUUGGGAGACAUUGAUUGGCAAUUAAAAUGUACAUGCAUUUUAUGUAAAUAUUCUGCUAUGCUGUUAUGAAAUCGAAUUAAUUUACAUUACAAGCUAUCAUGGCCACAUAAAUAUCAACAACUGUA